Molecule: ribosomal RNA, 380 nt
Filed under: uncultured cyanobacterium
Lineage: Bacteria; Bacillati; Cyanobacteriota
Description: bacterial SSU rRNA
Rfam family: Bacterial small subunit ribosomal RNA
Source: RNAcentral
CGAAAGCCUGACGGAGCAACGCCGCGUGAGGGAAGAAGGUCUUUGGAUUGUAAACCUCUUUUCUCAAGGAAGAAGUCAGUGACGGUACUUGAGGAAUCAGCAUCGGCUAACUCCGUGCCAGCAGCCGCGGUAAUACGGAGGAGGCAAGCGUUAUCCGGAAUGAUUGGGCGUAAAGCGUCCGCAGGUGGCAAUGUAAGUCUGCUGUCAAAACCCAGGGCUCAACUCUGGUCAGGCAGUGGAAACUACAUAGCUAGAGUUCGGUAGGGGCAAAGGGAAUUCCCGGUGUAGCGGUGAAAUGCGUAGAGAUCGGGAAGAACAUCGGUGGCGAAAGCGCUUUGCUAGACCGAAACUGACACUCAGGGACGAAAGCUAGGGGAGCG